Molecule: non-coding RNA, 75 nt
Filed under: Bacteroides ilei
Lineage: Bacteria; Pseudomonadati; Bacteroidota; Bacteroidia; Bacteroidales; Bacteroidaceae
Description: TPP riboswitch (THI element)
Rfam family: TPP riboswitch aptamer (THI element)
About the family: Vitamin B(1) in its active form thiamin pyrophosphate (TPP) is an essential coenzyme that is synthesised by coupling of pyrimidine and thiazole moieties in bacteria.
Source: RNAcentral
CAAAGGGGUGCCCAUUAAGCGGCUGAGAUCAUACCCUACGAACCUGAUGCGGUUAGUACCGCCGAAGGGAUUGUU